Bos indicus x Bos taurus (hybrid cattle) is the source of this 124-nucleotide long non-coding RNA. The record is from Ensembl. Lineage: Eukaryota; Metazoa; Chordata; Mammalia; Artiodactyla; Bovidae.
UAGAAUCAGCUUAAAGGCCUAAAGUAGAUUCUGACAUUGACACUUUUCUCCCUUCUGAUUCAAUUCACAGAGCCAAUGACACUUAAGCGGCCAAGUAGUUUACAAGCAUUAAGGAAUCAUCACU